RNAcentral lists this ribosomal RNA (481 nucleotides) under uncultured bacterium. RNAcentral describes it as "partial 16S ribosomal RNA". It matches the Rfam family "Bacterial small subunit ribosomal RNA", at positions 28 to 507 of the family's 1533-position model. The record is from RNAcentral.
GAUGAACGCUGGCGGCGUGUCUAACACAUGCAAGUCGAGCGAAGCACUUACUUUAGAUUUCUUCGGAAUGACGAAGUUUGUGACUGAGCGGCGGACGGGUGAGUAACGCGUGGGCAACCUGCCCUGUACAGGGGGAUAACAGUUAGAAAUGACUGCUAAUACCGCAUAAGCCCACAGCUUCGCAUGAAGCAGUGGGAAAAACUCCGGUGGUACAGGAUGGGCCCGCGUCUGAUUAGCUAGUUGGUAAGGUAACGGCUUACCAAGGCGACGAUCAGUAGCCGACCUGAGAGGGUGACCGGCCACAUUGGGACUGAGACACGGCCCAAACUCCUACGGGAGGCAGCAGUGGGGAAUAUUGCACAAUGGGGGAAACCCUGAUGCAGCGACGCCGCGUGAGCGAUGAAGUAUUUCGGUAUGUAAAGCUCUAUCAGCAGGGAAGAAAGUGACGGUACCUGACUAAGAAGCCCCGGCUAACUACGUG